UGCCAGCCGCCGCGGUAAUACGAAGGUCCCAAGCGUUGUUCGGAAUCACUGGGCGUAAAGCGUACGUAGGCGGAUUAAUAAGUUAGAGGUGAAAUCCCAGGGCUCAACCCUGGAACUGCCAUCAAAACUUUUUAGCUAGAGUAUGAUAGAGGAAAGCAGAAUUUCUAGUGUAGAGGUGAAAUUCGUAGAUAUUAGAAAGAAUACCAAUUGCGAAGGCAGCUUUCUGGAUCAUUACUGACACUGAGGAACGAAAGCAUGGGUAGCGAAGAGGAUUAGAUA
RNAcentral lists this ribosomal RNA (279 nucleotides) under uncultured bacterium. Its description in RNAcentral is "partial 16S ribosomal RNA". It matches the Rfam family "Bacterial small subunit ribosomal RNA", at positions 506 to 784 of the family's 1533-position model. The record is from RNAcentral.